AAAUUGAAGAGUUUGAUCAUGGCUCAGAUUGAACGCUGGCGGCAGGCCUAACACAUGCAAGUCGAACGGUAACAGGAAGCAGCUUGCUGCUUUGCUGACGAGUGGCGGACGGGUGAGUAAUGUCUGGGAAACUGCCUGAUGGAGGGGGAUAACUACUGGAAACGGUGGCUAAUACCGCAUAACGUCGCAAGACCAAAGAGGGGGACCUUCGGGCCUCUUGCCAUCAGAUGUGCCCAGAUGGGAUUAGCUUGUUGGUGAG
RNAcentral lists this ribosomal RNA (259 nucleotides) under Salmonella enterica. Its description in RNAcentral is "partial 16S ribosomal RNA". It matches the Rfam family "Bacterial small subunit ribosomal RNA", at positions 1 to 256 of the family's 1533-position model. RNAcentral also lists the same sequence under 4 other names. The record is from RNAcentral. Lineage: Bacteria; Pseudomonadati; Pseudomonadota; Gammaproteobacteria; Enterobacterales; Enterobacteriaceae.